UACGAAGGGUGCUAGCGUUGUUCGGAAUCACUGGGCGUAAAGCGCGCGUAGGCGGCUUUACAAGUCAGAGGUGAAAUCCCAAGGCUCAACCUUGGAACUGCCUUUGAAACUGUAAAGCUAGAGUGUCGGAGGGGAUGGCGGAAUUCCUAAUGUAGAGGUGAAAUUCGUAGAUAUUAGGAGGAACACCGGUGGCGAAGGCGGCCAUCUGGACGACAACUGACGCUGAGGCGCGAAAGCGUGGGGAGCGAACAGG
Molecule: ribosomal RNA, 253 nt
Filed under: uncultured bacterium
Lineage: Bacteria
Description: partial 16S ribosomal RNA
Rfam family: Bacterial small subunit ribosomal RNA
Source: RNAcentral